RNAcentral lists this ribosomal RNA (270 nucleotides) under uncultured bacterium. RNAcentral's name for it is "partial 16S ribosomal RNA". It matches the Rfam family "Bacterial small subunit ribosomal RNA", at positions 332 to 605 of the family's 1533-position model. The record is from RNAcentral.
AGGAGCCUACGGGGCGCAGCAGUGGGGAAUAUUGCACAAUGGGGGAAACCCUGAUGCAGCGACGCCGCGUGAGUGAAGAAGUAUCUCGGUACGUAAAGCUCUAUCAGCAGGGAAGAAAAAAAGUCUUUGGCUUUGGACGGUACCUGACUAAGAAGCCCCGGCUAACUACGUGCCAGCAGCCGCGGUAAUACGUAGGGGGCAAGCGUUAUCCGGCUUUACUGGGCGUAAAGGGAGCGUAGACGGCCGCGCACGUCUGGAGUGAACUGCCGG